GUGCUUACUUCAGCAGCACAUUUACUAAAAUUGGAACCAUACAGAGAUUAGCAUGGCCCCUGCGCAAGGAUGAUAUGCAAAUUCGUGAAGCAUUUCUGUAUCUU
This is a small nuclear RNA of Otolemur garnettii (small-eared galago), 104 nucleotides long. Lineage: Eukaryota; Metazoa; Chordata; Mammalia; Primates; Galagidae. The record is from Ensembl.